This is a long non-coding RNA of Strongylocentrotus purpuratus (purple sea urchin), 296 nucleotides long. RefSeq lists it as uncharacterized. NCBI's taxonomy places the organism in Eukaryota, Metazoa, Echinodermata, Echinoidea, Camarodonta, Strongylocentrotidae. The record is from RefSeq and is a predicted model, not a curated record. The transcript has 3 exons.
GUCCCGUCGGCAUGGUAAGGGAGAAGCAGCGCCCUCUCCAAGCCAUCAAAGUAGAAAGGCUGGACAAAGCGGCAGUACCCGACAUACCAAAGGACGCUAUUAAGCCAGAAGUGAAAAGUAACAUUUUCAAUUUAUUCUUCACAUCUCCAUUGAAUGGGCUUUCUGACUUCUUCGCUCACCCUUAGAUGGCAUGCAGCUAGUUCUCAUCUCAGUGUUAUGAUUUCAAUAAAUAGUAAGCAAAUAACUACCGUUGGUGAAGGUGAUGGGACAAACUAUCACUUCCGAGGCGAUCUGGA